AUUGAACGCUGGCGGCAGGCUUAACACAUGCAAGUCGAGCGGAGAUGAGGUGCUUGCACCUUAUCUUAGCGGCGGACGGGUGAGUAAUGCUUAGGAAUCUGCCUAUUAGUGGGGGACAACAUUCCGAAAGGAAUGCUAAUACCGCAUACGUCCUACGGGAGAAAGCAGGGGAUCUUCGGACCUUGCGCUAAUAGAUGAGCCUAAGUCGGAUUAGCUAGUUGGUGGGGUAAAGGCCUACCAAGGCGACGAUCUGUAGCGGGUCUGAGAGGAUGAUCCGCCACACUGGGACUGAGACACGGCCCAGACUCCUACGGGAGGCAGCAGUGGGGAAUAUUGGACAAUGGGGGAAACCCUGAUCCAGCCAUGCCGCGUGUGUGAAGAAGGCCUUAUGGUUGUAAAGCACUUUAAGCGAGGAGGAGGCUACUGAGACUAAUACUCUUGGAUAGUGGACGUUACUCGCAGAAUAAGUACCGGCUAACUCUGUGCCAGCCGCCGCCGUAA
Molecule: ribosomal RNA, 501 nt
Filed under: uncultured bacterium
Lineage: Bacteria
Description: partial 16S ribosomal RNA
Rfam family: Bacterial small subunit ribosomal RNA
Source: RNAcentral